AUACGUAGGGUGCAAGCGUUAAUCGGAAUUACUGGGCGUAAAGCGUGCGCAGGCGGUUUUGUAAGACAGGGGUGAAAUCCCCGGGCUCAACCUGGGAACUGCCAUUGUGACUGCAAGGCUGGAGUGCGGCAGAGGGGGAUGGAAUUCCGCGUGUAGCAGUGAAAUGCGUAGAUAUGCGGAGGAACACCGAUGGCGAAGGCAAGCCCCUGGGCCUGCACUGACGCUCAUGCACGAAAGCGUGGGGAGCAAACAGGAUUAGAUACCCUGGUAGUCCACGCCCUAAACGAUGUCAACUGGUUGUUGGGGAUUUAUUUUCUCAGUAACGAAGCUAACGCGUGAAGUUGACCGCCUGGGGAGUACGGCCGCAAGGUUAAAACUCAAAUGAAUUGGCGGGG
This 395-nucleotide ribosomal RNA is filed under the name uncultured bacterium. RNAcentral's name for it is "partial 16S ribosomal RNA". It matches the Rfam family "Bacterial small subunit ribosomal RNA", at positions 523 to 918 of the family's 1533-position model. The record is from RNAcentral.